Molecule: ribosomal RNA, 694 nt
Filed under: uncultured bacterium
Lineage: Bacteria
Description: bacterial SSU rRNA
Rfam family: Bacterial small subunit ribosomal RNA
Source: RNAcentral
CUUGCCGUUGAUACUGUCAGACUAGAAUAUAAAUGGAGUAGGCGGAAUGAAUCAUGUAGAGGUGACAUUCAUAGAUAUGAUUUAGAACACCGUUCGCGAAGGCGGCUUACUAAGAUAUAAUUGACGCUGAGGCACGAAAGCGUGGGUAUCGAACAGGAUUAGAUACCCUGGUAGUCCACGCUGUAAACUAUGAUAACUCGUUGUCGGCGAUAAACAGUCGGUGACCAAGCGAAAGCGAUAAGUUAUCCACCUGGGGAGUACGAUCGCAAGGUUGAAACUCAAAGGAAUUGACGGGGGCCCGCACAAGCGGAGGAGCAUGUGGUUUAAUUCGAUGAUACGCGAGGAACCUUACCUAGACUUGAACGUAACAGUAAUAAUGUAGAAAUAUAUUAGCUAGCAAUAGACUGUUACGAGGUGCUGCAUGGUUGUCGUCAGCUCGUGCCGUGAGGUGUCAGGUUAAGUCCUAUAACGAGCGCAACCCUUACACUUAGUUGCCAGCAUAUAAAGAUGGGGACUCUAAGUGGACUGCCUGCGUAAGCAGAGAGGGAAGGUGGGGAUGACGUCAAAUCAGCACGGCCCUUACGUCUAAGGCGACACACGUUGCUACAAUGGUAGGUACAGAGGGCAGCUACACAGCGAUGUGAUGCCAAUCUCAAAAGCCUAUCUCAGUUCGGAUCGGAGUCUGGCACCCCGA